AAAGAGGGAGGAUUGCUUGAGCCCAGGAGUUUGAGACCAGCCUGAGCAAUAUAAUCUUGUCUCCACAAAAAAAAUUAAAAUUUGCUAAUUUGCACGCCUGUGAUCCCAGCUAUCUGGGAGGCCAAAAUGUAAAGAACACUUGAGUCUGGGAGGCAGAGGUUGCAGUGAGCCAAGAUCACACCACUGCACUCCAGCCUGGGCCACAGAGCAAGACCUUGCCUCAAAGAAAAAAAAGAAAGAGACAAGCUCAUCUGCAAGUGGAGGUAUGAAGGAAGGGCCAGGGGUUUGGGGAGAUUGACAGGGGUUUGAGAUAAUCACUGUGGGAGAGUAAGUUAAUCAGACACUUAUCAGGGUUUCCCAGGUAUAGUGAGGGCCCCUCUGGACAUAGUAACCAUGAAUUUAUGUAGAACCUAUAUGCACUAUUGUGUGACUUUCCAGAGGCUGCCUGACAGCAGGCACAGUAAUAGAGAGUUGAGGCCAUACACAGUGGGGAUUUUGCCACACAGGAUAACAAAAUGACAAAGGAUCAAGAUUAGGGCUUAACCAAGAUUGUUAGAGACGUGGACUCUAAGCAUGAUAAGGGAGGAGGGAGGGGAGGGAGAAAGCUGAUGGUGUGGGGAAAAACAGAGCUACAGAUCGGAGGUUCUGAUGACGGGGAACGGUUGCAGUGGGGGUAGUUGCACAGGCCAGCUGGUGGGAUAGGAGCAGCUGUCACAGAAGGGGAGAGUGAAUUAUCAGUGAUUUGAAAGUCUCAACUUCCAAUAGGGCCAACGCCCAAACUGUGACUGUGGAAGUGGGUGGCUUAGUGAUAGUAGACACAGUCUUUAGGGAGGAGGAAGUCAAGAAACCGAGAGUCCAGUUGGACUGUUGACAAUUUCAUCCAAACCAGGGCUGAACUGACCUAAGAUGAGAGCAGCAUACAGAAGCUCUUUGAAGAGCAGGUGGCUGAGAAGAAUCCGCAGAGACUGUCUGAGAGAAGCCCUGAAUAUAACAGGGAGAAAGAAUGGGAAAAUGAUAUCCCUGAUCUCCAGUCUGCAGAGUCAGAAGCCAGCCAUUGCUCCAGGAGAGUGGGGAGCCCACACCCAUCCUUUGAAACUGGAAUCAAAGCCUCGUGAAUUCAAUAGAAUUGGGUGAAAUGGAAUUGUGUGACUGUCAAUAAAACGCCCAGAGGGUGAGGGUUGACAGGACACACAGGGAAUAUAAAAGUGAAGGUGGCACAUCUGAAGCCCCCGCCAGGAUGUCUGGGAUCUAAGCAGACGUACAUCCAUUUAUGACAUGAGAAAGUUCAUUAAUGUUUUAAUUGGAAUACAUAUGUGAGGGGAAGAAGGUAGAAAAAUACAAAUGUGUGUGUAUAAAGUUGUUUUGAUAAAAGAAUAAUAAGCUGGAAGUCUAAAAGGGGAGAAAAAGACAAAACCUUUUAUAACGGGAUGUAUUUUUUUAAAGGACUUAGUGGAGUUAAAAUUGAAUUGGACACAUCAGCUCUAACUCAUUUCCCAGGUAGUGCACUAGAAACAGAGACGCCUGCCUUCAGUUCUCAUGUGAAUAAUGUGAUUCGCAUUAGGAGUGCCCAGACAUAACAUUCACCUAAUAACAUUCACCACUCAAAAAAACAGGGCUCCUUGGAGAAGAGCUGAUUCCAUACCUUGGGGCAAGAAAAAUCACAGUCAGCCUAAGUAGACUUUGCUAGAACUAUGUAAGUUAAAAGACAAAAAUGUUUGAGGUAGUGUUAAAAGGAAAAAGGUUGCAGCAUAAAAAGUCAAAGCUGGCCAGACACGGCGGCUCAUGCCUGUGAUCCCCACACUCUGGGAGGCUGGGGCAGGAGAAUCACUGGAGGCCAGGAAUUCAAGCUGAGGCUGGGCAACAUAAUGAGACCCCAUAUCUACAAAAAAUGAAAAAAUUGGCUGGCGCAGUGGCUCACGUCUGUAAUCCUAGCAGUUUGGGAGGCUGAGGUGGGUGGAUCACCUGAGGUCAGGAGUUCAAGACCAGCCUGGCCAUCACAGUGAAACCCCAUCUUAAAAAAAAAAAAAAUGAAAAAAUUAGCCGGCUGGGGUGGUGUGUACCUGUAGGCCCAGCUACUCUGGAUGCAAAGUGGGAGGAUCCCUUGAGCCCAGAUGUUCAAGGCUGCACUGACACUAUCUCUAAAAAUAAAAAUAAAAAGGCAACACUGUGAUCAUCUGAUUAUUUAAAAAAAGAAAAAGAAAAAAAACGUAGUGGAAAGCCUGAGUCCAUAAUAGUGUUGAAUAUGGGUUAUACUAAAAGAAAUAUAUGUGAGUUCCUGAAAAUGUCCAGAUUUUUUUUUUUUUGCCAAAGCCAAUAGUUCCAAAGUGUCCACUUUUCAAUGUGCAUACCAUAGCCAAGUUCUGAUUAAUAAUUAAGCUAUGAAUUUCUUGUUCUUAUAUAUUUAUAUUAGGAAAUGAGUUUUUGUUUUUUGUUUUUUUUGAGAGAGAGUCUCGCUCUGUCGCCAGGCACCAGGAUGGAGUACAGUGGCGCGAUCUCGGCUCACUGCAACCUCCGCCUCCCAGGUUCAAGCAAUGCUCCUGCCUCAGCCUCCCAAGUAGCUGGGACUACAGGCACCCGCGCCACCAUGCCCAAGCUAACUUUUUUUUUUUUUUAGUAGAGACGAGGUUCAACCAUGUUGGCCAGGAUGGUCUCAAUCUCUUGACCUCGUGAUCCACCCGCUUUGGCCUCCCAAAGUGCUGGGAUUACAUGCGUGAGCCACCGCACCUGGCAGGAAAUGAGAUUUAAAGGACACCCAGGGAUGAACGAUGCACUGAGUUAUUUAAAAACAAGAAAUAGGCCGGGCGUGGUGGCUCAAGCCUAUAAUCCAAGCACUUUGGAGGCCGAGGUGGGCCGAUCACCUGAGGUCGGGAGUUCAAGACCAGCCUGACCAACAUGGUGAAACCCUGUCUAAAACAAACAAACAAAAAAAAAAAAAACAAGAAAUAAGGGAAAAAAACAGUGAGAGUUCUAUGAAUCUUGUUAGUGCAGCAGGCAAAAUUUGACCAAAGGAAGCCACCCACACUGGUAAUUGCCAGCCUGGAAGAAAUGAGGGUAGGAGGCACAUCCAGACCCCAAGCCCAGACCCAGUGUCCAGGCUUCAGGCAACUCUCUGCAUCGUGGCAGCUGCAAAUCCGGAGCUCAAACCCUAAUCUGUAACUGUAUCUCAGGGUUAAAUCUUCAACCGAGUCAUUUCAGCCCAACUGUGAGGUUACUUCUGCUUUCUUUCUUUGGACGGAGGCUUAAAAAUAAAGAGGACGAUGGACACAAAUGUAGAUUAAUAGUCUUGUGAUAGCUUUAGGGAGAGUAUGGUAGUAACUACUGCAAACAUUGGGAUGAUUUGGGUUUUAUCUGCUUUUUAGUUGAGGUAAAAUUCAGUAACAUAAAAUUAACCACUAACAACUUUAAAGUCUAGAAUUUUUAAAUUGUUGCUUUUUAAAGUAUUGGAAAAGUGUAAAAGCAGGUGACAUUAAACUUGUGAUAUUAGUUUAAUAUUUAGGUAGAUUAAGUUUGGUGGUUAAAUGCUUCAAUAAAUCUAAUUGGCUCUACAAAUUGAGGCUAUGUUUUGUGAAUAAUGUUUAAAUUCUUAGUGUUAAAUGCUUAGUGUCUAAGAUUUUGUUCAAUUUGCAAAUCUGCUUUGUUAGUUGUUUGAAGUGCUUAAUUUAGUUUAAUAGUCUAAUUUAAUUAAGCUUGUGAGUAAUAUUUAAUGUUUAGAGAAUUUAUAAGCUAAUCAGGCAUUAAUCAAAGAGCAAGUGAUAGAAAUACUAGAUUUAUGAGCAAAGUAACAUAAAAAUACUAGAUUUAUGAGCAAAGUGAUGAAUUAUAUGGGUUGAACUUAAAUUAACAAACCUAGUGUUGAAAAUUUACAACUUUGGGUGCAGUGGCUCCCACUUGUGGUCCCAGCAUUUUGGGAGGCUGAGGCAGGAGGAUCUCAUGGGACCAGGAGAGGAAAGCUGCAAUGAGCCAUGAUUAUACCACUGUGC
This is a long non-coding RNA of Callithrix jacchus (white-tufted-ear marmoset), 3980 nucleotides long. The record is from Ensembl. Lineage: Eukaryota; Metazoa; Chordata; Mammalia; Primates; Cebidae.